AAUCAACGCUGGCGGCGUGCCUAACACAUGCAAGUCGCACGAGAAAGUGGAGCAAUCCAUGAGUAAAGUGGCGUACGGGUGAGUAACACGUGAAUCAUCUACCUUCGAGUGUGGAAUAACUGGGAGAAAUCUUAGCUAAUACCUCAUAAUACCUACGGGUCAAAGCAGCAAUGCGCUUGAAGAGGAGUUCGCGGCAGAUUAGUUAGUUGGCGGGGUAAUGGCCCACCAAGACGAUGAUCUGUAUCCGGCCUGAGAGGGCGCACGGACACACUGGAACUGAAACACGGUCCAGACUCCUACGGGAGGCAGCAGUGGGGAAUUUUGCGCAAUGGGGGAAACCCUGACGCAGCAACGCCGCGUGGAGGAUGAAAUCCCUUGGGAUGUAAACUCCUUUCGAUAGGGAAGAUAAUGACGGUACCUAUAGAAGAAGCCCCGGCUAACUUCGUGCCAGCAGCCGCGGUAAUACGAGGGGGGCAAGCGUUGUUCGGAAUUAUUGGGCGUAAAGGGUGCGUAGGCGGUUUGACAAGUCUUGUGUGAAAUCUAUGGGCUCAACCCAUAGUCUGCACAGGAAACUGUCG
RNAcentral lists this ribosomal RNA (578 nucleotides) under uncultured bacterium. Its description in RNAcentral is "bacterial SSU rRNA". It matches the Rfam family "Bacterial small subunit ribosomal RNA", at positions 28 to 638 of the family's 1533-position model. The record is from RNAcentral.